CCUACGGGAGGCAGCAGUGGGGAAUAUUGCACAAUGGGCGCAAGCCUGAUGCAGCCAUGCCGCGUGUAUGAAGAAGGCCUUAGGGUUGUAAAGUACUUUCAGUUGGGAGGAAGGCGUUGAUGCUAAUAUCAUCAACGAUUGACGUUACCAACAGAAGAAGCACCGGCUAACUCCGUGCCAGCAGCCGCGGUAAUACGGAGGGUGCAAGCGUUAAUCGGAAUUACUGGGCGUAAAGCGCACGCAGGCGGUCUGUCAAGUCGGAUGUGAAAUCCCCGGGCUCAACCUGGGAACUGCAUUCGAAACUGGCAGGCUAGAGUCUUGUAGAGGGGGGUAGAAUUCCAGGUGUAGCGGUGAGAUGCGUAGAGAUCUGGAGGAAUAACGGUGGCGAAGGCGGCCCCCUGGACAAAGACUGACGCUCAGGUGCGAAAGCGUGGGGAGUAAACAGGAUUAGAUACCCCGGUAGUC
This 465-nucleotide ribosomal RNA is filed under the name uncultured bacterium. RNAcentral describes it as "bacterial SSU rRNA". It matches the Rfam family "Bacterial small subunit ribosomal RNA", at positions 338 to 795 of the family's 1533-position model. The record is from RNAcentral.